UACAGAGGUCUCAAGCGUUGUUCGGAUUCAUUGGGCGUAAAGGGCGCGUAGGCGGCCGAUCAAGUCGGGGGUGAAAGCCUGUGGCUCAACCACAGAAUUGCCUUCGAUACUGUUUGGCUUGAGGCCGGAAGAGGUUAGUGGAACUGCGAGUGUAGAGGUGAAAUUCGUAGAUAUUCGCAAGAACACCAGUGGCGAAGGCGGCUGACUGGUCCGGUUCUGACGCUGAGGCGCGAAAGCGUGGGGAGCAAACAGG
Molecule: ribosomal RNA, 253 nt
Filed under: uncultured bacterium
Lineage: Bacteria
Description: partial 16S ribosomal RNA
Rfam family: Bacterial small subunit ribosomal RNA
Source: RNAcentral